UCCAGUUUGGGCUAAAAGAUAUUGACAAUAUCAGGUAAGUCGCACGGCUGUCAACCGUGAGAUGCCGGUUCAAAACCGGCAGCUGGAGCCA
RNAcentral lists this transfer RNA (91 nucleotides) under Planctomycetota bacterium. RNAcentral describes it as "tRNA-Asp". The stretch from base 24 to 80 matches the Rfam family "tRNA", at positions 10 to 63 of the family's 71-position model. Rfam says of the family: Transfer RNA (tRNA) molecules are approximately 80 nucleotides in length. Their secondary structure includes four short double-helical elements and three loops (D, anti-codon, and T loops). Lineage: Bacteria; Pseudomonadati; Planctomycetota. The record is from RNAcentral.